GACGAACGCUGGCGGCGUGCCUAACACAUGCAAGUCGUGCGAGGACAGUGCCUUCGGGUGCUGAGCCGAGCGGCGGACGGGUGAGUAACACGUGAGCAACCCAACCCGGUGCGGGGGAUA
This 120-nucleotide ribosomal RNA is filed under the name uncultured bacterium. Its description in RNAcentral is "partial 16S ribosomal RNA". It matches the Rfam family "Bacterial small subunit ribosomal RNA", at positions 28 to 145 of the family's 1533-position model. The record is from RNAcentral.